UAGACCCUUACUCCACAUCCGACUCUCUCUUUGGAGUUGAGCGAGGCGCACAGUUUCCAGUUGACUUGGCGUCAACGGGGUUUGUGCUCCUCUUGCCCCAAGGGCGCGGGCAAGGCCCUAGUCUGCGUACUUCGAGGCUGCCGUAUUUUCAGUCAUUGUGAAGGCAGUGGAAAGGAGACUUCUCCGGUCGAAGCUUUCCGGGAAAGUGGCUAGUGGCCCACACAAGCGCCUGACUCCUGACCCCCUCAGUCCAGGGGCUUAGCCCUUUUUCCCCAAGACCCGAGGACAGGUGCAAGAGAAGCACUUGAAUUAGAGGCUCGUCCCCCUUUUUUCUAAUGGAUUUCGGAGUUAGGUAUCCCCAGCUUAAGAAUAUCAGGCAAAUACCAUCUGUUAAAGGUUCAGUAGGCCUACUUGUAAGGUAAAGGCCACGCAGCUUCCCCAGGGCCCUGCUAGAUCUCAGGCGAUGAAUCUGGUCAAGGGUGACUUGUACAAGGUCUCAGAAUUGGAAAGUUCUCUACAAAUCUUCUCAUCUAGCAGGAAAGCUUUCAGUUUGCAGCUCAUUUCCAGAAUCUCCUUACAGCUAAUAAUUCAAAUGGCAAGCUCCAAGCUUCCAGGCCACAUGGUUCAUCUGCAAGGUUUUUUGAAUUGUCACAAAUCCCCCCUCCAAAUUUUCCAAUAUACUUAUUGAAAAAAGUCUAAAUAUAAAUGGAUUUGCAUAUAACAAAACAUCUGUUGUUUAAGAGUCAGCUGUACUUCCAGAUGAGAGUGGUGCUGUCUGGUGGAACUGAUGUGCUUGAAGGCAAGAGUGAGACUCUAGAAGAAUUCCUGAGGUCAAUCUAAAGACUGUUGAGGAGACUGGUCAUGAUCUCACGGUUCCGGAGUCCAAACGGUUCCAAUUUCUAGCCCUGCAUCCAGCUCCACGCUGGUGGUGUGGAUCCUGCUUGGGAUUCUAUCUCCCUCUCUCCUUGCC
Molecule: long non-coding RNA, 970 nt
Organism: Suricata suricatta (meerkat)
Lineage: Eukaryota; Metazoa; Chordata; Mammalia; Carnivora; Herpestidae
Exons: 3
Source: RefSeq, a predicted model, not a curated record